RNAcentral lists this long non-coding RNA (508 nucleotides) under Apteryx rowi (Okarito brown kiwi). Its description in RNAcentral is "lncRNA (ENSARWG00000017830.1)". Lineage: Eukaryota; Metazoa; Chordata; Aves; Apterygiformes; Apterygidae. The record is from RNAcentral.
CUUAAGGCGAAAAGAAUCAAGCCUAUAGAGGGAGUACUCUAACAGAGAAAUAUAUUAUAAAGAUAUGAUCUCUGCUUUUUGCAGACCAGCAAAGAAGAGAGAAACUGAAAAAGAAGAUAGCCAGGUGUGAAAAAGAAAUGAAUGAGAGUAAAAAUGCCUCACGAUCCAGCUCAAGAGAGAGUGGAAGGCUGCUGUCAUUCUCUUUGGGAAAGAGUUCCUUAGAAGCAGAAGACAAUGACCGUCUCUUCCCCUGCGCUCAGCGGGCACAGUACUUGCCUAGAGCACUGUCACCUCCUGACGAGCAUGGCUUGGUUUGCUCCAGUCCKGUAAAAUAUGCCAGAAAAGAUUCUCGGAAUACAUCUAAUGCCUCUAACUCAAACUCAAGUGUCAGUACCUCAAGUCCAUUAAGAAAACCCUCUGGAGUUUCAUGCAGUUGCUCCACUGAUAGUUUUGUCGGCAUCGGUCAUUCUCAGAGGCGUCAAGAAACUAACUCCAAAGUAUACAGCAG